GGGUUGUGAGGUUAAGCGACUAAGCGUACACGGUGGAUGCCCUGGCAGUCAGAGGCGAUGAAGGACGUGCUAAUCUGCGAUAAGCGUCGGUAAGGUGAUAUGAACCGUUAUAACCGGCGAUUUCCGAAUGGGGAAACCCAGUGUGAUUUGUCACACUAUCAUUAACUGAAUCCAUAGGUUAAUGAGGCGAACCGGGGGAACUGAAACAUCUAAGUACCCCGAGGAAAAGAAAUCAACCGAGAUUCCCCCAGUAGCGGCGAGCGAACGGGGAGGAGCCCAGAGCCUGAAUCAGUGUGUGUGUUAGUGGAAGCGUCUGGAAAGGCGCGCGAUACAGGGUGACAGCCCCGUACACAAAAAUGCACAUGCUGUGAGCUCGAUGAGUAGGGCGGGACACGUGGUAUCCUGUCUGAAUAUGGGGGGACCAUCCUCCAAGGCUAAAUACUCCUGACUGACCGAUAGUGAACCAGUACCGUGAGGGAAAGGCGAAAAGAACCCCGGCGAGGGGAGUGAAAAAGAACCUGAAACCGUGUACGUACAAGCAGUGGGAGCCUCUUUUAUGGGGUGACUGCGUACCUUUUGUAUAAUGGGUCAGCGACUUAUAUUCUGUAGCAAGGUUAACCGAAUAGGGGAGCCGAAGGGAAACCGAGUCUUAACUGGGCGUUAAGUUGCAGGGUAUAGACCCGAAACCCGGUGAUCUAGCCAUGGGCAGGUUGAAGGUUGGGUAACACUAACUGGAGGACCGAACCGACUAAUGUUGAAAAAUUAGCGGAUGACUUGUGGCUGGGGGUGAAAGGCCAAUCAAACCGGGAGAUAGCUGGUUCUCCCCGAAAGCUAUUUAGGUAGCGCCUCGUGAAUUCAUCUCCGGGGGUAGAGCACUGUUUCGGCAAGGGGGUCAUCCCGACUUACCAACCCGAUGCAAACUGCGAAUACCGGAGAAUGUUAUCACGGGAGACACACGGCGGGUGCUAACGUCCGUCGUGAAGAGGGAAACAACCCAGACCGCCAGCUAAGGUCCCAAAGUCAUGGUUAAGUGGGAAACGAUGUGGGAAGGCCCAGACAGCCAGGAUGUUGGCUUAGAAGCAGCCAUCAUUUAAAGAAAGCGUAAUAGCUCACUGGUCGAGUCGGCCUGCGCGGAAGAUGUAACGGGGCUAAACCAUGCACCGAAGCUGCGGCAGCGACACUGUGUGUUGUUGGGUAGGGGAGCGUUCUGUAAGCCUGUGAAGGUGUACUGUGAGGUAUGCUGGAGGUAUCAGAAGUGCGAAUGCUGACAUAAGUAACGAUAAAGCGGGUGAAAAGCCCGCUCGCCGGAAGACCAAGGGUUCCUGUCCAACGUUAAUCGGGGCAGGGUGAGUCGACCCCUAAGGCGAGGCCGAAAGGCGUAGUCGAUGGGAAACAGGUUAAUAUUCCUGUACUUGGUGUUACUGCGAAGGGGGGACGGAGAAGGCUAUGUUGGCCGGGCGACGGUUGUCCCGGUUUAAGCGUGUAGGCUGGUUUUCCAGGCAAAUCCGGAAAAUCAAGGCUGAGGCGUGAUGACGAGGCACUACGGUGCUGAAGCAACAAAUGCCCUGCUUCCAGGAAAAGCCUCUAAGCAUCAGGUAACAUCAAAUCGUACCCCAAACCGACACAGGUGGUCAGGUAGAGAAUACCAAGGCGCUUGAGAGAACUCGGGUGAAGGAACUAGGCAAAAUGGUGCCGUAACUUCGGGAGAAGGCACGCUGAUAUGUAGGUGAAGUCCCUCGCGGAUGGAGCUGAAAUCAGUCGAAGAUACCAGCUGGCUGCAACUGUUUAUUAAAAACACAGCACUGUGCAAACACGAAAGUGGACGUAUACGGUGUGACGCCUGCCCGGUGCCGGAAGGUUAAUUGAUGGGGUCAGCGCAAGCGAAGCUCUUGAUCGAAGCCCCGGUAAACGGCGGCCGUAACUAUAACGGUCCUAAGGUAGCGAAAUUCCUUGUCGGGUAAGUUCCGACCUGCACGAAUGGCGUAAUGAUGGCCAGGCUGUCUCCACCCGAGACUCAGUGAAAUUGAACUCGCUGUGAAGAUGCAGUGUACCCGCGGCAAGACGGAAAGACCCCGUGAACCUUUACUAUAGCUUGACACUGAACAUUGAGCCUUGAUGUGUAGGAUAGGUGGGAGGCUUUGAAGUGUGGACGCCAGUCUGCAUGGAGCCGACCUUGAAAUACCACCCUUUAAUGUUUGAUGUUCUAACGUGGACCCGUGAUCCGGGUUGCGGACAGUGUCUGGUGGGUAGUUUGACUGGGGC
This 2262-nucleotide ribosomal RNA is filed under the name Escherichia coli. Its description in RNAcentral is "bacterial LSU rRNA". It matches the Rfam family "Bacterial large subunit ribosomal RNA", at positions 1 to 2280 of the family's 2925-position model. The record is from RNAcentral. Lineage: Bacteria; Pseudomonadati; Pseudomonadota; Gammaproteobacteria; Enterobacterales; Enterobacteriaceae.